This 274-nucleotide ribosomal RNA is filed under the name uncultured bacterium. Its description in RNAcentral is "partial 16S ribosomal RNA". It matches the Rfam family "Bacterial small subunit ribosomal RNA", at positions 523 to 796 of the family's 1533-position model. The record is from RNAcentral.
CUACGGAGGGUGCAAGCGUUACUCGGAAUCACUGGGCGUAAAGCGCGCGCAGGCGGCUUGAUAAGUUGGAUGUGAAAGCCUACGGCUCAACCGUAGAACUGCAUCCAAAACUGUCAGGCUAGAGUGUGGGAGAGGAAGAUGGAAUUAGUUGUGUAGGGGUAAAAUCCGUAGAGAUAACUAGGAAUACCAAAAGCGAAGGCAAUCUUCUGGAACACUUCUGACGCUGAGGCGCGAAGGCGUGGGGAGCAAACAGGAGUAGAAACCCUAGUAGUCC